CACCGCCCGUCACGUCAUGAAAGUUGGAAACGCCUGAAGUCGGUGAGCUAACCGCAAGGAGGCAGCUGCCGAGGGCGGAGUCAGCGAUUGGGACA
This 95-nucleotide ribosomal RNA is filed under the name uncultured bacterium. RNAcentral's name for it is "partial 16S ribosomal RNA". It matches the Rfam family "Bacterial small subunit ribosomal RNA", at positions 1388 to 1482 of the family's 1533-position model. The record is from RNAcentral.